UUUUUAGGCCAACAUGACAUUAAUAUAAUUUUAUUAAUCCAUACCAAAUAGACAAAACACAUCAUUGUAAUAAAUCGAAGAAAAAUUUUCAUUUACAUAUUGCCCAUCAAAUAAAUAUCAUCUUACACUCCUCUUAAAUAAUAGAAAAUUAUUGUAUAAAAGAAGAUAAUUUACAACUUGCUGUCUUCAAACUAUUGGGUUGGCUAACUCUCAAAAAUCCUUCCCAUUACUUUCUUCGUAGCCUGCAUCUUUCUUGUAGGAAAGAGCCUCCCAUCUUGAAGAUACUUGGUGCUUCGACAAAAUAGCAUUUGGAGUCUGUAUUUCUUCAAUCCAUUGUGAAAGAGGUAUCACCUGAAAUGUUUAGGAGAAGUUCAUUUAUAUCAUAACACUGUAAUCAACAACCAGAAAAUUACACUACAGUCCAAGCUACCAUAAGAGCAUGAAUAGACAAAAAAAAUCUCAGAAUUGCCAUCUCUGGAAUUUAUGUUAAAUGCUUUCUGACCUAGAUGGAACUUCGGUAAAUUUAACCAAGAGAUUAUGUGUGUGGUGUCAAUAAAUAUAUGCUAGAAUCAAGUAGGAAAAAUAGGGACUAAACUGCCCACUUUCAAUUUAUCAAACGUGAUCAUAUAUCACAUCUCAACAGUGCAUUCUUUAGAGUUCAAUUAUUGGAGAUACUUUGUCUAUGUAGAUAGAGUACACUAUUGACAAAAGUCGUUGCCAUCAUUUUAAUUCAUGUACGUAGGAAAUGCACGAAAUCAUAUUGACAACAACUAGGAGAGGUUCCCUAUUGCAACUACUACUCCUUUUUAAGGGCCUUAUUAAUAAAUCUAGAUAGACAAUUUAACCCAUAGAUAGAGGUUCCUUCUUUGUUUUUGCUUGAACCAACACUUUCCGAACAACGAAGUCUAUUUUUCUGUUUGAUAACGUAACGAGCCAUUUUUAUCCCUUGACCAAGAAGACAUGACUUUUGGUACAUGAAUAUCUUUCUAUAUAAUUACCACAAAAGACCCGUACUUAAUGUCAAGGUUCCAAUUAUAGAACAAACACCAAUAUAAACCAUUAUAUUUGAUAGUACAAAACUAAUACCAAUGUUUCUACCACUGCUAAGGCUGUAUACAAAAGAAAAGCUGAACCAAGAAAAGAGAAAAAUAUCAAGAAACGGUAUCACAUUCUCCGGGUGUCAUAACACAUCUAUUAAGUAUAGAUGUUCACCUGGUGCAUUUAGCACAAUUAUGAUAGAACCCACUAUUUAUCAAAUGCAUAUGAAUAUUCCUAAUUCUGCAAUUUCUCUUUCAAUAAGAAAUGAGCUAAAGCAGAACCCUUACUUAUGAUUGGUUAUAGAGCAUAAGAUGCAGAUCUGAAAGGUAACCUUUUUCUUGUUUUAACUUUGGCUCUUUUACUGGAUGAAGAGAAAAGGGAAUGAAAAGAGACUACAAUGUAUAAUUAAGGAAUCUGAAAAACGCAAGACUUACUCGUUACUAUGCCAAUCCUCCCGGGCCUUCAAUUCAUUUGAUGAGUACAAUUAGAUAAGAUAAUGAAAAUUGAUCAUCAAUAAGUCAAACAGCAACAAUUAAGUUCAACAAAACCUAUUCCGUUUCAACAAGAAAAUCUUAUAUUAUUUGUAAUUCAGUGCUGUAAUGUGAUUCCUCAUCAAAAACUACGAGGGGAAUGCACGAAAUCUAUAGAAUUCAUGUAAAAUUGGGAUAAAUCUAUUCAUAUGUUCAGAAUCCAAACGCAAUUGAUUUCGCCAGCUUUACAUGAAUUAAUUAUUAUAACAAUGAAGUUUCUUUUACCACAAUCCUUUUUUGGAAUAAUUAGUGUAUAUCCACCAUAAUCCAUUCCUUCCAUCAACACUCAACACAGAACAAAAACAAUAAUUAAAAAAAAAACAAAAAGAGGGCUAAUGCCGGACAGAAAAACUGAACAGGGCCGAAAAUUAAAAGGUACUUGCCGACUCGACGACUCACCAUGAGGUUCGUGACACUAUCAGUCCGUCUCCAUCACCCCUAAGAACUGGCACCCACAACUUAACAGUUGACACUCGUAGCUCAUCGACCAUCACGACUCGCCACAGGUUCUGCUGCUUCUACACUUCUGCUCUCGCCUCUAGUCACUUUGUCUCCCGACGAUUUCAAUUUGGGAAUUCCAUUUGGUUCUGGCUCCGCGCCUGGCCAUUACUGAGAGCAUGGUAAGAAACUAAAUCAAGGCUUAAAGAAAAAGGAGAAGAAGAUGAAACAUGAGAUUAGAUGAAAUGGGACAAGAGAGAGAUGCGCAGUCGGCUCCGUCUGGUUUCUUGCCCUAAAUGAGAGAGGC
This 2313-nucleotide long non-coding RNA is filed under the name Olea europaea subsp. europaea. Lineage: Eukaryota; Viridiplantae; Streptophyta; Magnoliopsida; Lamiales; Oleaceae. The record is from RNAcentral.